RNAcentral lists this antisense RNA (187 nucleotides) under Leptolyngbya sp. 'hensonii'. Its description in RNAcentral is "Antisense RNA which regulates isiA expression". It matches the Rfam family "Antisense RNA which regulates isiA expression". The record is from Rfam by way of RNAcentral. Lineage: Bacteria; Bacillati; Cyanobacteriota; Cyanophyceae; Leptolyngbyales; Leptolyngbyaceae.
GAUACCCGAAAAUGACUGCUGGGUUUAGGGUUGGAUUGUUGAUGACGCGAACAUCUCCACCCCCGGGAGCCCAGGUGUCAUACAGACCACCAAAGAACAUGGCCUUCAGGACCAGCAGGAAAGCACCACAGCCCAGCAUAAUCAGAUGAAAACCGAUGAUGUUGGUCAUCUUGUUCUUGUCUUUCCA